GACCUAUAUAUAUGUAUAUGUUCAUACUUAAGGUUCCCUACAAUAAACAUACAAAACAUUUUUUUACCGUGAAGGUUUACAAUGUCGGCGUCGAAAUUUGCUAUAUUUUGUAUUGUUCUCAUUUGUUUUGCUAGUCUUCAUGAAUGUGCCAAUCUGGAAAAAAAGCCCAAAGGAACAUGCUCUAAAACACCAAAGAAUGUUUGGUGUUGCAGUUCCACUACACAUUGCCGAAGCACCAAAGCGGACUGUGAGAAGAUGUGUAUCUGGUAGUAUCUGGGACCGUUGAAUUUUUAUGAAGAGAAUUUCUAUAAUUAUAUAUUCCAAUUAUUUUCAUACUUCUAUUAUUCAAAAUUUAGAUAAUAAAUAGAAAUUUCUAUUCCACAUGAGCAGGAGCAGCUAGUAUUAUGUACUAAAUGUUUUGGAAUUUCUUUGAAAGAUCAAUAUAUAUAGUUGUAUUUCUCACUUUCUUCAAUUUUAUUUAAGAAGUUUAUAAAUUUUAUACAAAAUGAGAAUAAAACCAUAGUAGACUGUUUAACUGAAAUUUAAAUGUUGUAAGUACUUUGUAAAUUAAAUAAAAUAAAAAUAUAUCACUUCAAAAUAUAUUAUAAAUUAUAUAAAUUAAUAUUAAAUGAAUUAAUUAACACAAAAAUUAACAAUUUUCACUUGUCUCGGACUUGACCGAUUCAAAAUAUAACACAAUUUUUUAACAUAAUAAAAUAAUAUACUGUAAAAUAAUCCAUAAGGACGUGGGUCUUCUCAAAUAUGGUCCCACUAAAAGAUUAUAAGAAACAUUAGUAUAUUAAUUUUGUAUAAAUAUAAAGAAAACAUUGUUUUGUUUCCACCAUGAACUCAAUCGCUAAUUAUUCUUAACCAUUCACAACAUUUUGAUAUUGUUUUAUCAUUUUACUUCUAGAAUACAUUUGCAUUAUAUAAUCCAUAUCUUAUAUUCAUCAAAUUAUUUAACAAGAACAAGUUGAAAGCCAAAGUUUAGAUUAAAUAAUAUAUAAGCCAAGAAAAAAUGAUUUUUUUAUUUGACCUAAAAUAAUUUAUUUAAUAUAUGAAUGAUAAAACUGAUAUUUCCUAAACAAAUAAUAUAUCAUAUUUACACCAUUUCUAAUUACAUAUUUUUUUAUUGUACAAUAACUGAAAAUACAUAACUUGGUGUUUAUGCAUCUUACAGGAAACAAUAUAUUAUUGAUAUGAAAAAGGUCAUUGAUGAGAAAUUUUUUUCAUUGAAUUUAAAGAUGAGGCUUCAAUAAUGCUUAUGAUAUUACUGACAUUGUGAUCAUGUUUUAUCUUGGGAAAUUGUGGUUUAUAGCACUAUUAUUAUUAAGUAUUUCUCGCAUAAAAUAUGUCAUUUUGAAAUCCAAUAAAUAAUAUAAUCGCUAUGUAGGCGUUAGUUCAUAUUAGAUACAUAAUUUUUAUUAUAUUGUAUUUUCUCUUAUGACAGUCCUUACAAUAUUUUGAUUAUUGUAUAUAUUUCUUGCGGAAAUAUAUGUUUGGCAAAUAAUUUGUUUAUUUAUUUCUAUAUAAAAAUACUUUUUGGUAAAUUAGAACUGUUAUGUAAAUUAGUACCUAGAAUAAUAAUUCACUUCGAACAACAUAUGCCAGACUCUCAUAAAAUAUGUAUAGAUAAAUCCAUUAAGAAUCGAAGACUAUAUUUUUUCAUCUAAAAUAAGGUAGUAAAAAAAUAUAUAGUAGCUAACUCUUUGAUAAUUUAAUUUGGCCACAUAUUUAAUCUUUCAAAGUUACUCAUAUAUAUAUGGCUGUCAUUAUUGGGUACUUUUAGGUGGUGAUAUAUCCUAUCAAAAAAUUAAAUGAAAAUUUUGGAACUUUUUAACAUAAAUAUAUCAGAAUAUAAGGAGAAUAAAAGUUACCAAUAAUUAUACUUUCAUAUUCUUCGGAUUAUCAUGCGACAAUUUUUCAGGGACAUAUACACAUGUUCACAUUUAAGGAUAUUGAUGAGAAAUUAGUAAAUGCUAAAAUUGGUAGCUAGCUAGUUGAUUUUAUCCACAUAUUUAACCAUUCAAAGCUACACUAUAUAUAUAUAUAUAUAUGGUUGUCGUUAAUCGGUAUUUUUAGGUGCUGACUUACUGUAUCAAAAACGAAAAUGAAUGUUUAGAAUAAAAUUUAACAUAAAUAUUUUAGGAUAUGAAGUAAAAAAUAACCAAUCAAUUUAAAACAGUUUUUCUGGAUAAUUUUAAAAAUAGUCUUCAAAGACCUAUAUAUAUUUAUAUGUUCAUACUUAAGGUUCCCUUCAAUAAACACACAAAACAUUUUCUUACUGUGAAGGUUUACAAUAUCGGCGUCGAAAUUUGCUAUAUUAUGUAUUGUUCUCAUUUGUCUUGCUAGUCUUCAUGAAUGUGCCAAUCUGGAAAAAAAGCCCAAAGUUACAUGCUCUAAAACACCAAAGAAUAUUUGGUGUUGCAGUUCCACUACACACUGCCGAAUCACCAAAGCGGAUUGUGAGAAAAUUUGUAUCUGGUAGUAUCUGGGGCCGUUGAAUUUUUCUGAAGAGAAUUUCUAUAAUUAUAUAUUUCAAUUAUUUUCAUACUUCUAUUAUUCAAAAUUUAGAUAAUAAAUAGAAAUUCCUAUUCCACAUGAGCAGGAGCAGCUAGUAUUAUGUACUAAAUGUUUUGGAAUUUCUUUGAAAGAUCAAUAUAUAUAGUUGUCUUUCUCACUUUCUUCAAUUGUAUUUAAGAAGUUUAUAAAUUUUAUACAAAAUGAGAAUAAAACCACAGUAGACUGUUUAACUGAAAUUUAAAUGUUGUAAGUACUUUGUAAAUUAAAUAAAAUAAAAAUAUAUCACUUCAAAAUAUAUUAUAAAUUAUAUAAAUUAAUAUUAAAUGAAUUAAUUAACACAAAAAUUUACAAUUUUCACAUGUCUCGAACUUCACCGAUUCAAAAUAUAACACAAUUGUUUAAAAUAAUAAAAUAAUAUACUAUAAAAUAAUCCAUAAGGACGUGGGUCUUCUCAAAUAUGGUCCCACUAAAAUUUUAUAAUAAAAAUUAAUAUAUAAAUUUCGUAUAAAUAUAAACAAAACAUUUUUUUUGUUUCCACCAUGAACUCAAUCGCUAAUUAUUCUUAACCAUUCACAACAUUUUGAUAUUGUUUUAUCAUUUUACUUCUAGAAUACAUUUGCAUUAUAUAAUCCAUAUCUUAUAUUCAUCAAAUUAUUUAACAAGAACAAGUUGAAAGCCAAAGUUUAGAUUAAAUAAUAUAUAAGCCAAGAAACAAAAUGAUUUUUUUAUUUGACCUAAAAUAAUUUAUUUAAU
Molecule: long non-coding RNA, 3276 nt
Organism: Brassica napus (rape)
Lineage: Eukaryota; Viridiplantae; Streptophyta; Magnoliopsida; Brassicales; Brassicaceae
Exons: 3
Source: RefSeq, a predicted model, not a curated record